This 407-nucleotide ribosomal RNA is filed under the name uncultured bacterium. RNAcentral describes it as "bacterial SSU rRNA". It matches the Rfam family "Bacterial small subunit ribosomal RNA", at positions 29 to 483 of the family's 1533-position model. The record is from RNAcentral.
AACGAACGCUGGCGGCAGGCCUAACACAUGCAAGUCGAGCGAGACCUUCGGGUCUAGCGGCGGACGGGUGAGUAACGCGUGGGAACGUGCCCUUUGGUACGGAAUAGCCCCGGGAAACUGGGAGUAAUACCGUAUAAGCUCUUCGGAGGAAGAUUAUCGCCAAAGGAUCGGCCCGCGUUGGAUUAGGUAGUUGGUGGGGUAAUGGCCUACCAAGCCGACGAUCCAUAGCUGGUUUGAGAGGAUGAUCAGCCACACUGGGACUGAGACACGGCCCAGACUCCUACGGGAGGCAGCAGUGGGGAAUCUUAGACAAUGGGCGCAAGCCUGAUCUAGCCAUGCCGCGUGAGCGAUGAAGGCCUUAGGGUUGUAAAGCUCUUUCAGUGGGGAAGAUAAUGACUGUACCCACA